CACUUUACAACCGUGGAACACAAAUAAUACUUCUCUUGGAGAAGUUUUUCAUUCCCAAGGCCGUCUCCCUGAGACCCAAGAGUUCAGAGGCAUCGCAGGGUGUUGCUGAGUUGUGUUUCUUAAGCCCGCAGAGCCCCACUUCACGUUCACUCGCGCCCAAAGCGCUCCAACGUGCGCUGAUCUCGUACUGACUUCCAGCAUCCUCUGCCCGGACCGCAGCCGCUUUACCACGUCUUACGUUCCCUUCUGAUCGACCCAGUUACACUGGCUCCUGGGACCUGGGCUGGGUUCCCCCCUGCCCCCUGCCCUCGGCAGGACCGCUGAUCGCAAACAUAGGGGCACGUCGGAGUUCCCGUAUUUCUCACAAAAGAAACCCAAGCUGACUUGUGUGUGGCACAUGCGUCUGUAACGUCCUGAAAGUGCGCCACGGCCCCUGGCCCAUUCGGACGAGCGUCGGCCCCACAUUCUGUCCUCCACCGCCCUGCUGAGGUCGCCGGAUAAAAUACAGAAUGCCCAGUUACAUUUGAACUUCGGAUCAACAAGAAAUCAUGUUCCGGGCCUCACGCUCCGUGGAACCCGAAACAAACACAAGACAAACCAGAAACACCUCCCCCGAACGCAGACCAUAUUCCGGCGUUCCCUUGAAGCAGGAAGAUGUGCCUGUUUUCAGGUAGAUUUUAGGAGAGUCCUGGUAAACGGGAGACAUAGCCUUUCCGAAGCAUCAUUUUCCUGUUGCGUAGACGUGCAGGGUGACUCGGGGAUAAAUAUUUCAGCUCUUCGUCAUGGUCACUGUUUUUCUCUCCUGCUUAUCACAAGACAUUCUUUAAAGGCUGAAAUUACAGUCACCUUUGCUGAAAAGCAGGAUUCCCCGGCAGGUGAUAGGCAUCAGAAUGAUCUCCAAAUCGCGGAAAAAGCCGCUCCCAGGAAUGUUUCCAGUUCUUUGGUUACGCCGCCUCCGCUUACCCUCCCUCUGGUAACUGUGUCUCGUUGCCCUACUGCAGAGCGGCCAUCCUCCCCCAAUCCCAGUUCACGGGAUCUGAGCAAAGCUUAUCGUCCGCCCCUCCUUUUUGUAAAGGCUGAGCACGUGACUGGGACUUCACACGCUCCUUGCCCACAGGGGUUGGCCGUGGGACAUAGGUGCUGCCCAGCCGGAGCCUGUGAUACAGGGAUUCUGUUCUGCUGGAAGUGCGAGCUUGAAGGGGAUGUACCAUCUAGCGUCGCUGGCAGCCAUUUUGUUGCUAUGAGGGAAGAGCCUGCGAAGAGAACCAACAAUAAGACAGAGAGAGAGAGAGAGAGAGAGAAAUAGGCUUUGUUGAUGUUCUGUAAGGUCCUCAUCCAGUCUUCCCGGCCAGACUUGCCCUUCCAUUUUUCAGUCACGUGAUCCAAUACUCUUUUCUUAGCCAGAUCAAGGUCCUCGUCACUUACCACCAAAGACAUUGCAACUUAUACAAAAGGGAAGGGAACGGAAAACACCUGCUGGGUGGGAAGCCCCUCGGAGGAGCCACCAGCUUCAUCCUGGCUAAUGAUAUUUCCCAGGGCGCCCGGGUGGCUCAGUCAGUUAAGCGUCCGACUUCGG
This is a long non-coding RNA of Felis catus (domestic cat), 1576 nucleotides long. RefSeq lists it as uncharacterized. The transcript is spliced from 3 exons. Lineage: Eukaryota; Metazoa; Chordata; Mammalia; Carnivora; Felidae. The record is from RefSeq and is a predicted model, not a curated record.